Molecule: ribosomal RNA, 253 nt
Filed under: uncultured bacterium
Lineage: Bacteria
Description: partial 16S ribosomal RNA
Rfam family: Bacterial small subunit ribosomal RNA
Source: RNAcentral
UACAGAGGAUGCAAGCGUUAUCCGGAAUGAUUGGGCGUAAAGCGUCUGUAGGUGGCUUUUUAAGUCCGCCGUCAAAUCCCAGGGCUCAACUCUGGACAGGCGGUGGAAACUACCAAGCUGGAGUACGGUAGGGGCAGAGGGAAUUUCCGGUGGAGCGGUGAAAUGCGUAGAUAUCUGGAGGAACACCGGUGGCGAAGGCGGCAUCCUGAACCGGAACUGACGCUGAGGCGCGAAAGCUAGGGGAGCAAACGGG